RNAcentral lists this ribosomal RNA (620 nucleotides) under Micrococcaceae bacterium. RNAcentral describes it as "bacterial SSU rRNA". It matches the Rfam family "Bacterial small subunit ribosomal RNA", at positions 171 to 803 of the family's 1533-position model. The record is from RNAcentral. Lineage: Bacteria; Bacillati; Actinomycetota; Actinomycetes; Micrococcales; Micrococcaceae.
GGAUAUGACUCCUCAUCGCAUGGUGGGGGGUGGAAAGCUUUAUUGUGGUUUUGGAUGGACUCGCGGCCUAUCAGCUUGUUGGUGAGGUAAUGGCUCACCAAGGCGACGACGGGUAGCCGGCCUGAGAGGGUGACCGGCCACACUGGGACUGAGACACGGCCCAGACUCCUACGGGAGGCAGCAGUGGGGAAUAUUGCACAAUGGGCGCAAGCCUGAUGCAGCGACGCCGCGUGAGGGAUGACGGCCUUCGGGUUGUAAACCUCUUUCAGUAGGGAAGAAGCGAAAGUGACGGUACCUGCAGAAGAAGCGCCGGCUAACUACGUGCCAGCAGCCGCGGUAAUACGUAGGGCGCAAGCGUUAUCCGGAAUUAUUGGGCGUAAAGAGCUCGUAGGCGGUUUGUCGCGUCUGCCGUGAAAGUCCGGGGCUCAACUCCGGAUCUGCGGUGGGUACGGGCAGACUAGAGUGAUGUAGGGGAGACUGGAAUUCCUGGUGUAGCGGUGAAAUGCGCAGAUAUCAGGAGGAACACCGAUGGCGAAGGCAGGUCUCUGGGCAUUAACUGACGCUGAGGAGCGAAAGCAUGGGGAGCGAACAGGAUUAGAUACCCUGGUAGUCCAUGCCGU